Molecule: ribosomal RNA, 413 nt
Filed under: uncultured soil bacterium
Lineage: Bacteria
Description: bacterial SSU rRNA
Rfam family: Bacterial small subunit ribosomal RNA
Source: RNAcentral
UAAUGGCCUACCAAGGCGACGACGGGUAGCCGGCCUGAGAGGGCGACCGGCCACACUGGGACUGAGACACGGCCCAAACUCCUACGGGAGGCAGCAGUGGGGAAUAUUGGACAAUGGGCGAAGCCUGAUCCAGCAAUGCCGCGUGUGUGAAGAAGGUCUUCGGAUUGUAAAGCACUUUCGGCGGGGACGAUGAUGACGGUACCCGCAGAAGAAGCCCCGGCUAACUUCGUGCCAGCAGCCGCGGUAAUACGAAGGGGGCUAGCGUUGCUCGGAAUGACUGGGCGUAAAGGGCGCGUAGGCGGUUUGUACAGUCAGAUGUGAAAUAAACUGGGCUUAACCUGGGGACUGCAUUUGAGACGUGCAGACUUGAGUGUGGAAGAGGGUCGUGGAAUUCCCAGUGUAGAGGUGAAAUU